This 484-nucleotide ribosomal RNA is filed under the name uncultured bacterium. RNAcentral's name for it is "partial 16S ribosomal RNA". It matches the Rfam family "Bacterial small subunit ribosomal RNA", at positions 30 to 507 of the family's 1533-position model. The record is from RNAcentral.
AUUGAACGCUGGCGGCAGGCCUAACACAUGCAAGUCGAGCGGAUGAAGGGAGCUUGCUCCUGGAUUCAGCGGCGGACGGGUGAGUAAUGCCUAGGAAUCUGCCUGGUAGUGGGGGAUAACGUCCGGAAACGGGCGCUAAUACCGCAUACGUCCUGAGGGAGAAAGGGGGGGAUCUUCGGACCUCCCGCUAUCAGAUAAGCCUAGGUCGGAUUAGCUAGUUGGUGGGGUAAAGGCCUACCAAGGCGACGAUCCGUAACUGGUCUGAGAGGAUGAUCAGUCACACUGGAACUGAGACACGGUCCAGACUCCUACGGGAGGCAGCAGUGGGGAAUAUUGGACAAUGGGCGAAAGCCUGAUCCAGCCAUGCCGCGUGUGUGAAGAAGGUCUUCGGAUUGUAAAGCACUUUAAGUUGGGAGGAAGGGCAGUAAGUUAAUACCUUGCUGUUUUGACGUUACCAACAGAAUAAGCACCGGCUAACUUCGUG